GCACCUACCCGGUUCAAAGCUUGUGGGUCAGUGAGGAUAUUCUGCAUCAUCUGCAACAUAGCGGGAUUUUGCCGGUUCAUAGCUUGUGGGUCAGUGAGGAUAUUCUGCAUCAUCUGCAACAUAGCGGGAUUUUGCCGGUUCAUAGCUUGUGGGUCAGUGAGGAUAUUCUGCAUCAUCUGCAACAUAGCGGGAUUUUGCCGGUUCAUAGCUUGUGGGUCAGUGAGGAUAUUCUGCAUCAUCUGCAACAUAGCGGGAUUUUGUAUAGCCUGACUAAGAAGAGAUGAGUCCAUACCACCGGUCAUACUUUCCAAGUUGGGUAAACCGAGCCCUCCUAAACCUGCAGCUCCGGUCGCCCUCGCCCCACCAGCAGGACUCGGCCUGGUG
RNAcentral lists this long non-coding RNA (384 nucleotides) under Ananas comosus (pineapple). RNAcentral describes it as "long non-coding RNA (ACOM_LNC006263)". The record is from RNAcentral. Lineage: Eukaryota; Viridiplantae; Streptophyta; Magnoliopsida; Poales; Bromeliaceae.